RNAcentral lists this ribosomal RNA (468 nucleotides) under uncultured bacterium. Its description in RNAcentral is "partial 16S ribosomal RNA". It matches the Rfam family "Bacterial small subunit ribosomal RNA", at positions 28 to 507 of the family's 1533-position model. The record is from RNAcentral.
GACGAACGCUGGCGGCGUGCUUAACACAUGCAAGUCGAACGGAAAGGCCCUGCUUUUGUGGGGUGCUCGAGUGGCGAACGGGUGAGUAACACGUGAGUAACCUGCCCUUGACUUUGGGAUAACUUCAGGAAACUGGGGCUAAUACCGGAUAGGCGCUCCUGCUGCAUGGUGGGGGUUGGAAAGUUUCGGCGGUUGGGGAUGGACUCGCGGCUUAUCAGUUUGUUGGUGGGGUAGUGGCUUACCAGGGCUUUGACGGGUAGCCGGCCUGGGAGGGUGACCGGCCACAUUGGGACUGAGAUACGGCCCAGACUCCUACGGGAGGCAGCAGUGGGGAAUAUUGCACAAUGGGCGGAAGCCUGAUGCAGCAACGCCGGGUGCGGGAUGACGGCCUUCGGGUUGUAAACCGCUUUCGCCGGUGACGAAGCGUGAGUGACGGUAAUUGGUAAAGAAGCACCGGCUAACUACGUG